GACGAACGCUGGCGGCGUGCUUAACACAUGCAAGUCGAACGGAAAGGCCCUGCUUUUGUGGGGUGCUCGAGUGGCGAACGGGUGAGUAACACGUGAGUAACCUGCCCUUGACUUUGGGAUAACUUCAGGAAACUGGGGCUAAUACCGGAUAGGAGCUCCUGCUGCAUGGUGGGGGUUGGAAAGUUUCGGCGGUUGGGGAUGGACUCGCGGCUUAUCAGCUUGUUGGUGGGGUAGUGGCUUACCAAGGCUUUGACGGGUAGCCGGCCUGAGAGGGUGACCGGCCACAUUGGGACUGAGAGACGGCCCAGACUCCUACGGGAGGCAGCAGUGGAGAAUAUUGCACAAUGGGCGGAAGCCUGAUGCAGCGACGCCGCGUGCGGGAUGACGGCCUUCGGGUUGUAAACCGCUUUCGCCUGUGACGAAGCGUGAGUAACGGUAAUGGGUAAAGAAGCACCGGCUAACUACGUG
This 468-nucleotide ribosomal RNA is filed under the name uncultured bacterium. RNAcentral describes it as "partial 16S ribosomal RNA". It matches the Rfam family "Bacterial small subunit ribosomal RNA", at positions 28 to 507 of the family's 1533-position model. The record is from RNAcentral.